Molecule: transfer RNA, 74 nt
Filed under: Paramuricea clavata
Lineage: Eukaryota; Metazoa; Cnidaria; Anthozoa; Malacalcyonacea; Plexauridae
Description: tRNA-Glu
Rfam family: tRNA (bases 7-69)
About the family: Transfer RNA (tRNA) molecules are approximately 80 nucleotides in length.
Source: RNAcentral
UGUCCCAUGUGGUCUAGUGGUUAGGAUCUGGCGUUUUCACCGCCAUGGCCCGGGUUCGAUUCCCGGUGUCACAG